This 1039-nucleotide long non-coding RNA is filed under the name Cricetulus griseus (Chinese hamster). Its description in RNAcentral is "lncRNA (ENSCGRG00015031590.1)". Lineage: Eukaryota; Metazoa; Chordata; Mammalia; Rodentia; Cricetidae. The record is from RNAcentral.
UGCUCCUCAGCUUCCCCCUGGUCAUCUUAUAGUCAGUCACCUGCUUGGAACACAGAGAUUGUCACCUCCUGAUACAAAAGCAAUUUCCUAGAUGGGCAAUGAGCACGGACCCAGAGCCAUGCCUUCUCCAAGAAUGCAAGGGGCAAUGUCACCAAGCAUAGAAGCUGGCUUCUCUCCUUUGUUUAAGGCUCUUGGCCAAAACAUCACAGAGGAAAUCCCCAGUUGCAGGAAAGUCAAGCGUGUUCCUGCGCAGCUGGGCUGAUCACACACGUGGUUAUGACACCGCUCGCUCCCCAAGCACAUUUUCCACCAUCUGUAACAGGCAAGUGCUGGCUCGGGAGGCAGGUUCUUCCUGCUCACUCAGGAGUCUCCACUAGCAAGAGACAGAGCUAUGGCCUAUGAAACCACAACCUUUCCCCUUCCUCAAAGGAAUUGCUCGUAGGUUGGGGUUGCAGGGACUCUGUUUAUGUCAACACUCCCUGCCCAGAAAGCAGAACACUGAGGGAUGAGCUCCCGGCAAGUAGCAUCACUAUUUAAGCCACGGCCAAGACUACCUCCAAAUGCCCAGUCGUGAACUUCAUUUGUAAAGCUCUCCCAUCAAUGCAAAAGCACACAAUGUCUGGAAACUCACAGUGAGAGACCGAGCCCCCAAACUUUACCAUCCCCAAGCCAAACUACUUUAUCACUGCUUACAGCUCCCCUGGGAAGGAGACCGAGAAGUGAGUCAGUGAGAGCUGCCAUGUAAGAUAGCAUAGGAGGCCUCACUGGAGCUUCUGGCUUCCAAGCUGGCACUCAGCUAGGAAAGCCAGAGACUGCUUCUGGCAGGCUUAUUUCUACAGGUCAUAAGAAAGCCAUUGUCAACCAUGUGCAUUCCAUAGAUCCAAGUCCCAAACCACGGAAUAUUUCAAUUGUCUCCCCACAACUCCCAGUGCUGAAAGAUUAAAUCUGUCCCUCAGAAGACAGAUUUAUCUGAGGAACGGCAGGAAGGGGGCUGAUUUUUCUGAAGGCCUUAAUUAGUCCCUUCCGGAUCCAUUCCUUG